CUUGGGAGCCGAGUAGCCUCCUUCCUGUUUCACAUCUGGAAGACCCGGAAACUUACUCUUCUCCCAACUGGCAAAAUCUUUAAUCAUUUUUCCAAUAAGAAAUUAAGGGGAUAUAGUCUUCUAGUCUAGCUGGAGUCGGAGGCAAAUCUAGGGUCUACCAAUCUGCCAAAUCAGUUUGGGGUUCAGGGCCUGCAAGUGGCCAGCUCUGCGCCCCUUGCCAAGAAAUCAGGGCGCAGACUGGAAGGUCGGCCGCCAUGGGGAGGGGGAUGCAGAAGGCUGUCCAGGAGGUUGCCCUUUCUCUGGCUCCCAGAUAAGCUCCAGCACUAUUGCUGGAAGUCCCAAAGUCCCUUUAAAGGGAACUGGCCUCAGUCUUGUGAAAGACCCCUCAGGAAACAGUAAGAUCCCAUAGCCCUGGACAGGUGGGAACUCCCCUAGGAGUUUUGGUCCGGGCACCUGAGAACUCCCUGGUUAAUAUGGGAAUGGAGCAUGCUUCUGAAUUGUGGGAAAUUUAUUCUAAAACUCAUAUUCAAAUGGUAAUUUUGGGGGGGCAAAUUGAAUGAAAUUGAGGGAAGAAAGACCAGAUCACUGCAAUUUAAAGGCUUUGAAAUGGCUUUUAGAGAACUGCGUGCACAAACCUUCUGAUUAAGCCUUCAGUAAGAGAUAAGGCCAGCCAAUACAUCUGGUUUGUUGUUUUGUCCCGUGGUCUUCUGCGCCUGGAAGAUGACUAAUAGGCAAGCUCCUCCUUGUGUUAGUCAGCCAGUUUGUGAGCCAAGCCUCCUGCCCCGGAGUGGAGAACUCCCUCUUUAUCGCCUUCUGCCCCUCCCGAAAGCUUUGCAGGAGAAUCUUUGUCUUGUGAGGUUUGAAGCUUCUGCCAAAGAGAAAACUGCAAGUGGCCAGAAAGACCACUGUAAAAAAGCAGCUGCUGAAGACUUGGGAAUUCUGGGAAAGGUUCUGAAAAUUUCCUAUCUGAAGGAGAGUUUCCUUCCAGCUUUGUGUCAGCUGAUGCUUAACUGUCCCCGGAAGACACUUUCUGUCACUUUAGCCCUGACCAUGUAGGAAUUAUAGAGAGAAAAUCAGGAUUAAGGGUUAGGGUUAGAGUCUGGAAGCAUUUAGGGUUGGGGUUAAUGAAAUUCGUAGCGUCAUAAACCAGAGACUAAAGUUGUAAUUGGCACGGAUGCAAUAGUUUUCCUAUAAAUCUCCAAAUUGUGCUAGAUGCUAAAAAAAAAAAAAAAUCUUAGUGGACUUUGAGGGUUUGAAGAUCAAGAUCUGCACUUCUGGAGGGAAGAUUUGGAAUUGUGAAAGGAUCUGAGAAAGAUCAAUUCCUUUGAGAGAAGCAGAUUUGAGAAAGUCGCCCCUUUUGGUUCUCUGAAAAGGCACUUAGCAGAAGCUUAACAAAGGCAGAAAUAUCUUGGUUUUGGGGUACCACCCUGGAAUUUAUCAGUAAGACUUAGAGAUACAAAUAGCCCUUGUGAUGGAGAGAGCCAUCUGCAGCCAGAAAGGACCGGGGGGACUGAAGGUGGGUCACCCCAUAGGAUUUAAAAAAAAAAAAAAAGCUACAGGGAAAGAGCAUUUAGGCUUCUCUUGUACUCACAUGAUAGCUUUGUUGUCUGGAGAUUGACAGGCUUGUUUCGGUGAAAAGGAGGAAGAUGAUUUCUAGUUUCCAGUUUAAAUUUAUCUGGUACUUAAGAACUUCCUGUUAGUAACUCUUUUCUAGAUCAUGAAAAAAAAAUGCUUGUUAAAAUUAGGGAAAUAGCAAAUAGUAAAAUUUAAUUAAGGACCGGAAAGGGAGAUUUGUAAAAAAUCAAUAAAAAACAAAGAAGGGUCCCACACUGGGCCCACACCCUUUUGAGGAGAAUGGGAAUGGCCAAGAACCAUGUAUUAUUGGGGGAAGCCACCAGGAACUAGUAAUGUCUUUUAGGAAGACUGAAGUAGGACUUGCAAAACCUUACCUAAAAUCUGUAGGACGGUAGAGCCCACUAACACCACCAGGAGUCCCAGUGGGAGUGUGGGAAAAGGUUUCUUUCUCAUGAGAAAGGGUGUGCGGCCUCUCCAAGUGAGAGACCCCCACGAGCAAGGGGCAAUCCCUCUUUGUUGCCUUCCCUGACCCCAGUGUUUGGGAUUUCUUAAAAAUGGAAGGUCAAAUGCUUAACUGGGCAGGGGACUUCCCACUCAAUGCAGCCCCUGCCCCCAUGAGCUUCCAUUCUUCCCUCCCCCUUGGUACUCUUUGAUGUCCUUGUGGGUUUCAAAUCUUCAAUUUCUAAAUUUCACUUCUCCCGUCUAAUUUUCAUGCCUGGAAGCCAAAUAAAUGUCCGUCCAUUUUUCACAAAAAAAAAUGAACUGUUUAGGUAAAUAGAAGCAAGGCCACUGAAGGAAAUAGGGAAAGAUCAGGCACCUGGAAGUUCUUAAGAGCCUGAAGAGGGAGUCAUACUGAAGUUAACCAAGAUUGUAAAAAAAAGGUGCUAAGUUACAAAGAAGUGAAGACUGGUUGCUUAGAUAGCCUGGAAAAUGACUGGGAAAUCUGCCUCCUUUUGGCCAUUUCAGGGUCUCUGGGAGCAGCCUUCGUUUCAGGUCAGUAACCACCACACGUGCAGCCACGGUCCCAGCCCAAACCCUUUCCUGCCUCCUUCGAAGUCCUGUCUCCCUCACUUGGGGCUGGGCGGCUUUCUGGAGGCCUUCCGGAUGUCGGUUCCAGGAGGAGAGCCCCUGCCACCACGGUCUGUCUCCCGAGUCCCCACGCUGGCUGAGCUUGUCCCGGCUUGCACCCUCGUCAAAGGUGGGGAUCUAGUGGCACUCUACUAAGUCCUGAGUACAUGCGCUGAGCUAGACAGCUGCUAACCCGGCUCAACAACCGCCGACUUAGCUCCCUGUCUCAGGUCCCGGCCCCUAACAGGUGUGUCCCCAGCUCUACAAAGUUCUUGGAGCAUCUCCCCACUUCUUGCCCUGCACUAAAAUGGGAGAGCUCAGGGAGGGGUGCGCGUGGCGCUGGGUCAUGAACGCACGGGAUUGUGUCUGAGGGUUUUGGUGAUUUAUAUCGAGGUUUUUUAAUUUUUAAUUGUCUUACUUAGUAUUUCUGCCCCAAAUUACGGAUAAAGAACAGGAGCCGCGGCAAACGGGGACCUGAUAACGCGGUGACGCCACAAGGCUCUGGCCCCGUCGGCGACCGGCGCAGCCGGGUCUCGGGCCGCCACUCCCGUCGCUCCCAGACACCGGACACCGCGUCCGGGGUGCCCCUUAAACCGCCAGGGCGCCUGCUGGGGAGGCUGCGGGGGGAGGGGCCGCGACGCGGGGCGGGGUCUGACCACGCCCUGUGCCCGAGGAGGAGCAGCGCUAAGGGAGGCCCCUGUCAGUACACCGGGCGGGGGCGGCACGAGGCUCUGAGGCAGCUGCAGGAAGGGCGGUAGGGCACGUAGAGGCGGCCACCAGGGGGCGCAGGGCACGGAGCGCCGGCCCGGGGUCAGGAGGCGUUGCCCCGCGGCUCAGGGAAAGCAGAGAGGAAGCGCUGGGACUCUUCUCACGCCUCUGUCCGCGCGGGGCGCCGGGCACAUCCAGGCCGGGCCGGGCCCCCGCGGCGCCGUCCGGAGGCCGGAGUCGGGCUCUGACGCACAGCACCGCCCGUUCCCGCCCGGGGCGCUUCUGAGAGACCCGGGGGCCCGUUCUCGGCCCGGCCUAUAGGUAGCUGUAGACUCCUGCUUUAGCCCGCUGCUGGCAGCGCCCGGGGGAACCCCCGCAGUGCCCGGGACGCCGCUGCUGCCACCGGGGCCGCGCCGCCGGAUCGGGCUCCCGCCGGCCGUUCUGAGCCCGGCAGUGUCGCGCUGGAGCCGCGCCGCGGGGGCCCCGCCCCGGGAACGGGAGGGGCGUCCCAGAGACGGUUCUCGGACCCGAGGGGACACUGGCACCCUGCGCCGCCCUGGGCGGAGGCCGGGGGUCCGAGCGGGAGCGCGGAGGCGGGACCGAGGGAGGGGGGGGGGCGGGAGUUCUGCGCCCCCUGGGGGCCCGGAGAGGAGGGGCGGGAGCCCCGGGGGCCGGGGAAGGGGGGCCCAGAGGCUCCGGGGGAGAGGGCGAGUCUGUGGGAUAAAGAAAAUACCCCAGGGGCGGGGGAGUUCCCAGUGGGGGGCGCCCGAUGGGCGCGCUGGGCACCAGGCCCUCCGCAGGGCCGGCGUUCUGGCCUCUCUGGUGGGGGGGGGGGGGGGGGGGGGGGACGGCCGGGACCUCCCACGCCCCGCCCCCGCCCCGCCCUCUGUCCUGACCCCUUUGGGCGUAGACCCCGCAAGGGUCACGGGCGGCCCCAGGGCCACCCACUCAGUGACUCCAUUUUCCGGGGAGCAGAGGUCAGGGUGCGAGAGCGCCGGCGCCUGAAGCCGGGGAACGCCCCGCGCCGAGGCCCGUUUCCCGGCAAACCCAGGAGGUGGCGCCAGAGCCCCACGUUCCGCCCGAGCGGCCCGGCUUCCUUCCGGUGGCUGAGGGAGGGGGAGGCGGGUCCGGCGCGUCUCUGGGGCCCCGAGAGGGUAGAAGUCUUCCCGACCCCUGGGCCGCCCCUCUCGAGGGCGUCCCGGGGGCUCUGUCUGUGCCCCCCCCCGCCCCGCCCCGGCCCCCC
RNAcentral lists this long non-coding RNA (4594 nucleotides) under Sarcophilus harrisii (Tasmanian devil). Its description in RNAcentral is "lncRNA (ENSSHAG00000023125.1)". Lineage: Eukaryota; Metazoa; Chordata; Mammalia; Dasyuromorphia; Dasyuridae. The record is from RNAcentral.